UAAGAAUGUAUUGAGCUUACAGAGCCUU
This 28-nucleotide non-coding RNA is filed under the name Mus musculus (house mouse). The record is from RNAcentral. Lineage: Eukaryota; Metazoa; Chordata; Mammalia; Rodentia; Muridae.